AGCUGAGUCCACACAGUCAUUCCAACAUGGCGAGUAAAAAGGCCUCCAGAAAGGGACAGAGGGGAGCUCAGAAGUCCUGCUCCAACGUCUUCUCCAUGUUUGAGCAGUCACAAAUACAAGAGUUCAAAGAGGCGUUUGGCUGCAUCGAUCAGGACAGAGACGGAGUCAUCAAAAAGCAGGACCUGAAGGAGACCUACGCUCAGCUGGG
This is a long non-coding RNA of Nematolebias whitei (Rio pearlfish), 208 nucleotides long. RefSeq lists it as uncharacterized. The transcript has 3 exons. Lineage: Eukaryota; Metazoa; Chordata; Actinopteri; Cyprinodontiformes; Rivulidae. The record is from RefSeq and is a predicted model, not a curated record.